AUUGAACGCUGGCGGCAGGCUUAACACAUGCAAGUCGAACGAGUGGCGGACGGGUGAGUAAUGUAUGGGGACUGCCCGAUAGAGGGGGAUAACUACUGGAAACGGUGGCUAAUACCGCAUACUAUCGGAUAACCCAUAUGGGAUUAGCUAGUAGGGGGGGUAAAGGCUAACCUAGGCGACGAUCUCUAGCUGGUCUGAGAGGAUGAUCAGCCAAACUGGAACUGAGACACGGCCCAGAUUCCUCCGGAGGCGGACGUGGGGAAUAUUGCAAAUUGGGCGCAGUCCGGAUGCAGCCAUGCGGGGUGUAUGAGGAAGGCCUUAGGGUUGUAAAGUACUUUCAGUCGGGAGGCGUUACCGACAGAAGAAGCACCGGCUAACUCCGUGCCAGCAGCCGCGGUAAUAC
Molecule: ribosomal RNA, 403 nt
Filed under: uncultured bacterium
Lineage: Bacteria
Description: partial 16S ribosomal RNA
Rfam family: Bacterial small subunit ribosomal RNA
Source: RNAcentral